Molecule: ribosomal RNA, 386 nt
Filed under: uncultured euryarchaeote
Lineage: Archaea; Methanobacteriati; Methanobacteriota
Description: bacterial SSU rRNA
Rfam family: Archaeal small subunit ribosomal RNA
Source: RNAcentral
UCGAGGAACUUUUACAAUGCCCGCAAGGGUGAUCGAGUAAACCAGAGUGUUUUCUUUACGAAAACUUUUAUUUGCUGUAAAAAGGCAGAUGAAUAAGGACUGGGCAAGACCGGUGCCAGCCGCCGCGGUAAUCCCGGCGGUCCAAGUCGCAUCCACAAUUAUUGGGUCUAAAACAUCCGUAGCUUGUUUUGUAAGUCUCUUGUGAAAUCCCAAAUCUCAAAUUUGGGGCGUGCAAGAGAUACUGCAAAGCUUUGAGACCGGAAGACGUAAAGAGUACGAAGAAGGUAGUGGUAAAAUAUGUUAAUCUUCUUCGGACUAACAGUGGCGAAGGCGCUUUACGAGUACGGUUCUGACAGUGAGGGAUGAAGGCUAGGGGCGCAAAAGGG